CGGAAUGGGCCGUUUUUCUCUAAAUCGCGUUCACAUCAGCGCGAUGUCAGGGGACGUGUCAGCAACUAGCGUCCACAUAAGCGCGCUUUGCUUACGUGGACACAAAUCGCGCUGACGUGGACGCGAUUUGCAGCCAGGUAACGCGCUUAUGGGAACGCGAUUUCCCUGUGUUUCCCACGUUAGGUUUUUUUUGUUUUUA
RNAcentral lists this long non-coding RNA (199 nucleotides) under Gossypium barbadense (sea-island cotton). RNAcentral describes it as "long non-coding RNA (GBAR_LNC015804)". Lineage: Eukaryota; Viridiplantae; Streptophyta; Magnoliopsida; Malvales; Malvaceae. The record is from RNAcentral.